CCUACGGGUGGCUGCAGUCGAGGAUCUUCGGCAAUGGGGGAAACCCUGACCGAGCGACGCCGCGUGUGGGAUGAAGGCCCUCGGGUUGUAAACCACUGUCAGAGGGGAUGAAGUGCCAUGGGGUUCUCUCCAUGGUUUGACAUAUCCUCAGAGGAAGGACGGGCUAAGUUCGUGCCAGCAGCCGCGGUAAUACGAACCGUCCAAAUGUUAUUCGGAAUCGCUGGGGUUGAAGGCGCUGUAGGCUGCGCGUGAAAGCCCUCGGCUUAACCGAGGAAUAGCGCUCAAUACUGCUGUGCUUGAGGGAGAUAGAGGUGAGCGGAACUUAGGGUGGAGCGGUGAAAUGCGUUGAUAUCCUAAGGAACACCUGGGGCGAAAGCGGCUCACUGGAUCUUUUCUGACGCUGAUGCACGAAAGCUAGGGUAGCGAACGGGAUUAGAUACCCGAGUAGUC
RNAcentral lists this ribosomal RNA (450 nucleotides) under uncultured bacterium. RNAcentral's name for it is "partial 16S ribosomal RNA". It matches the Rfam family "Bacterial small subunit ribosomal RNA", at positions 338 to 795 of the family's 1533-position model. The record is from RNAcentral.